RNAcentral lists this unclassified non-coding RNA (231 nucleotides) under Hevea brasiliensis (rubber tree). Lineage: Eukaryota; Viridiplantae; Streptophyta; Magnoliopsida; Malpighiales; Euphorbiaceae. The record is from RNAcentral.
UUCAACAUCAUCAAAUGCAAUGUUGCUAAGAAGGAAAAAUUUGGCUAGAUUGUGAUUGGUCACGCUAUUUCUUAAUAGCAUCACACUGUCAUCCUUUUGCAAAGAAUUUUGAACCACAUCUGUUGAUGCGAUGGAAGCAAAAUGUUUUUCUUUGAGUAACUUGAAGUUCUAGCUUUCCUCUUACAUUCGUCUACUGCUUCAAGAGCUUCUUUUUGUACUUCAGUAGGAACU